Molecule: ribosomal RNA, 473 nt
Filed under: uncultured bacterium
Lineage: Bacteria
Description: bacterial SSU rRNA
Rfam family: Bacterial small subunit ribosomal RNA
Source: RNAcentral
ACUCCUACGGGAGGCAGCAGUAGGGAAUCUUCCACAAUGGGCGCAAGCCUGAUGGAGCAACACCGCGUGAGUGAAGAAGGGUUUCGGCUCGUAAAGCUCUGUUGUUAAAGAAGAACACGUAUGAGAGCAACUGUUCAUACGUUGACGGUAUUUAACCAGAAAGUCACGGCUAACUACGUGCCAGCAGCCGCGGUAAUACGUAGGUGGCAAGCGUUAUCCGGAUUUAUUGGGCGUAAAGAGAGUGCAGGCGGUUUUCUAAGUCUGAUGUGAAAGCCUUCGGCUUAACCGGAGAAGUGCAUCGGAAACUGGAUAACUUGAGUGCAGAAGAGGGUAGUGGAACUCCAUGUGUAGCGGUGGAAUGCGUAGAUAUAUGGAAGAACACCAGUGGCGAAGGCGGCUACCUGGUCUGCAACUGACGCUGAGACUCGAAAGCAUGGGUAGCGAACAGGAUUAGAUACCCUGGUAGGAUAGCG